GAGAAGCCUGCGCUUGCUGGGGGACUUGCUGGUGGGGCAGUGCUGUGUGGAAGGGCUGUGCUCACACCAUGAGAUGAGGCCAUCUAACAGACGAAGCAUGCAGGAUUUGCACUGACCGACGCCUGCACGGCUUCAGAGCUGUUUAUGGAUGUAAGGCUUGUCGUGGCUCUUCUCCCAGACACCUCGCUGCUGUCACAGCUCAGCGUUUGCCAUAUGUUUCAGCCCAGUGCUCGAAGCCUAAUAAAAAUGUCUAGCUGUAAAUCACCAGAGGUGUAGGCUGUGACCCUCUUUACUCCUACCUCUUCCACCACCUCUCAGCCACCCUUUUCCAGGGGGAAAAAAAAAGUCAUUAUGGUUGCUCUCAAGGAAGGUGAAACACAUUGCUGACAUGACCAGUGCCUCCCUCCGUGCUUGUGUGGCUGACUCAUUGGACGGUGUGGCUAAACCUGGCCUUACAAGUUG
Molecule: long non-coding RNA, 462 nt
Filed under: Gallus gallus (chicken)
Lineage: Eukaryota; Metazoa; Chordata; Aves; Galliformes; Phasianidae
Source: RNAcentral